Molecule: ribosomal RNA, 238 nt
Filed under: uncultured bacterium
Lineage: Bacteria
Description: partial 16S ribosomal RNA
Rfam family: Bacterial small subunit ribosomal RNA
Source: RNAcentral
CGGCGGACGGGUGAGUAACGCGUGGGUAACCUGCCUCAUACAGGGGGAUAACAGUUAGAAAUGGCUGCUAAUACCGCAUAAGACCACAGUACUGCAUGGUACAGUGGUAAAAACUCCGGUGGUAUGAGAUGGACCCGCGUCUGAUUAGGUAGUUGGUGGGGUAACGGCCCACCAAGCCGACGAUCAGUAGCCGACCUGAGAGGGUGACCGGCCACAUUGGGACUGAGACACGGCCCAA